CACUCAACAUGAACCUCUGCAAUGAAAUUAUUCUGCUGAUUGUGCGCUCAGCGCUCUUUCGAAGAGAAACGAAGGGCCAUACAAUGUACGUCAGAGACACACGUGACGUUAAAAUCACGCCUACUGUUGUCUAGUUUAAGGAAGCAGAAACCUGGCAAAAUUUUGCGCGUGUUCGCUAAUGUUAUUUUUGCGGAUAGGUGUGGCGUCCUCUUGAUUAUGUUACAUAAAAAGGAAUAUAUUAUUAUGCAAUUAUGUGCCUGUAUAGACAAAACAAAAAGCAAGAGAGGCUUAUAGGGUUGAACAUGUACUCGUAAAAGCACCUUCAUUCACCAGUGAGAAACAUGGUAGCUGAAAUAGGUACUGUAAACAAACCUUUACAAAGAGCCUACAUAUCUGGUACAGGACCACCUGAGCUAGGUGGGUUGGACUGCAGUGAGAAAGCCAGUCCUUGCUGAAUCGAGACAAAUGCAUGAAGUGAAACAAACAUGCCGUGUAUUUGAAUAGAUUUGUGUAAAUAUGAGUUGCUGAUCUGAGCAACUGAUCUAAAGAAGAACAGACGUUUUGUGUAAAUGUUCUGGAAAUUUAGACCAACAACCAAAAAUAGAAAAACUCAUGUCUGUUACUGUCAGAAACACAAAAUGAUUUAGUUUAUUAUUUAAUUAUUUAUGAAUUUAAUGUGCCCGUCAGUAUUUAUAUGGUGUUCCUGCUUGUAAGCUAAAAAAUAUAUAAUUGGUGUAAGACCUAAUUGCUGAAUACAGAUAGAUGAUAUGAAACAGUGUUCCAGUACAUGCGCAUAAACUAUUAACAUACGGUUAUGUGAGCUGUUUGUGUAUCUGCGUAGGUAAUUAUAUGGUAACAAUUGGAUGAACAGGUUUGACAUGUAUAAUUAAGGUUUCUGCAUUCAGCAGAUUUUAAAACCCAUACACAUUUGUGAUUAAAAAUUAACAAGUGAAAACCAAUUAAUAAUAUUUUAAUAUUAAAAUAUUUUAAAGAAAAGCUUUAUUCUUGUUUAACAUAUGGGUAAGAGUCUGCCAAAUGAGCAUGCCAUGAUUUUAUUCUUUAAUUUCUUGCAAAUUACUCCAGUUCUUCCAAAUUGCUGGUUGUGGUGGUGGGAGGGUUGUUGUCCUCUGCAAAUCCCCCUCUUCAAGUCUUUGAACAGGUUUUUGUUAGAUCUGAUCCCCAGUCCCAGCUGACAAGAAGCAGCACCAUAGCAUGAUGAUGGCACAAAAUGCUUCACUGGAUGUCUUGUUUUUCACCACAAAUAUAGUUAUGGACAAGAAGUUCUUUGCCACGUUUUAUCUGUGAAGACAUCCCACUUUCCUGACAGAAAGUUUCUGCCAUAUACACACGCAGCGGGACUUUCGGGCAUGGUCUAAGAUUGGCGUGUCUGACCACCUUUGCUGCUCUUGGCCACACUGCACACAGGAAGCAAGCUGCACACAGGAAGCAAGCUGCACACAGGA
Long non-coding RNA from Tachysurus fulvidraco (yellow catfish), 1463 nucleotides. RefSeq lists it as uncharacterized. The transcript is spliced from 3 exons. The record is from RefSeq and is a predicted model, not a curated record. Lineage: Eukaryota; Metazoa; Chordata; Actinopteri; Siluriformes; Bagridae.